UUCCAGGGUUAUGUUGCAAGACUUGUGC
Molecule: small RNA, 28 nt
Filed under: Bombyx mori (domestic silkworm)
Lineage: Eukaryota; Metazoa; Arthropoda; Insecta; Lepidoptera; Bombycidae
Description: piRNA piR-bmo-1445846
Source: RNAcentral